GACGAGGUGACCGAGUGGUUAAGGUGUUGGACUGCUAAUCCAAUGUGCUCUGCACGCGUGGGUUCGAAUCCCAUCCUCGUCG
This is a transfer RNA of Folsomia candida, 82 nucleotides long. It matches the Rfam family "tRNA". Rfam says of the family: Transfer RNA (tRNA) molecules are approximately 80 nucleotides in length. Their secondary structure includes four short double-helical elements and three loops (D, anti-codon, and T loops). Further hydrogen bonds mediate the characteristic L-shaped molecular structure. tRNAs have two regions of fundamental functional importance: the anti-codon, which is responsible for specific mRNA codon recognition, and the 3' end, to which the tRNAs corresponding amino acid is attached (by aminoacyl-tRNA synthetases). tRNAs cope with the degeneracy of the genetic code in two manners: having more than one tRNA (with a specific anti-codon) for a particular amino acid; and 'wobble' base-pairing, i.e. permitting non-standard base-pairing at the 3rd anti-codon position. The record is from Rfam. Lineage: Eukaryota; Metazoa; Arthropoda; Collembola; Entomobryomorpha; Isotomidae.